Molecule: ribosomal RNA, 355 nt
Filed under: uncultured bacterium
Lineage: Bacteria
Description: bacterial SSU rRNA
Rfam family: Bacterial small subunit ribosomal RNA
Source: RNAcentral
AGAGUUUGAUCAUGGCUCAGGAUGAACGCUAGCUACAGGCUUAACACAUGCAAGUCGAGGGGAAACGACAUCGAAAGCUUGCUUUUGAUGGGCGUCGACCGGCGCACGGGUGAGUAACGCGUAUCCAACCUGCCCACCACUUGGGGAUAACCUUGCGAAAGUAAGACUAAUACCCAAUGACGUCUCUAGAAGACAUCUGAAAGGGAUUAAAGAUUUAUCGGUGAUGGAUGGGGAUGCGUCUGAUUAGCUUGGUUGGCGGGGUAACGGCCCACCAAGGCUACGAUCAGUAGGGGUUCUGAGAGGAAGGUCCCCCANAUUGGAACUGAGACACGGUCCAAACUCCGUACGGGAGGCA